UUCGAUCCUGGCUCAGGAUGAAUGCUGGCGGCAUGCCUAAUACAUGCAAGUCGAGCGGCAACGAGGGUUCAUCCUAUCUGGAAGUGAUUCGGGAGUAGAAUGAAACCUGUCGGCGAGCGGCGGACGGCUGAGUAACGCGUGGGAACGUACCCAAACUGAGGGAUAACUAGUCGAAAGAUUAGCUAAUACCGCAUGUGAUCUUCGGAUUAAAGCUUUCGGGCGGUUUGGGAAUGGCCUGCGUACGAUUAGAUAGUUGGUGAGGUAAUGGCUCACCAAGUCGACGAUCGUUAGAUGGUUUGAGAGGAUGAUCAUCCAGACUGGGACUGAGACACGGCCCAGACUCCUACGGGAGGCAGCAGUAGGGAAUCUUUCACAAUGGGCGAAAGCCUGAUGGAGCAAUGCCGCGUGCAGGACGAAGGCCUUCGGGUUGUAAACUGCUUUUAUAAGCGAGGAAUAUGACGGUAACUUAUGAAUAAGGAUCGGCUAACUACGUGCCAGCCGCGGC
Molecule: ribosomal RNA, 505 nt
Filed under: uncultured bacterium
Lineage: Bacteria
Description: bacterial SSU rRNA
Rfam family: Bacterial small subunit ribosomal RNA
Source: RNAcentral